RNAcentral lists this non-coding RNA (28 nucleotides) under Homo sapiens (human). Lineage: Eukaryota; Metazoa; Chordata; Mammalia; Primates; Hominidae. The record is from RNAcentral.
GUCGCGUUCAGAGCUGCCGCUGGUUGAU